This 383-nucleotide ribosomal RNA is filed under the name uncultured bacterium. Its description in RNAcentral is "bacterial SSU rRNA". It matches the Rfam family "Bacterial small subunit ribosomal RNA", at positions 367 to 762 of the family's 1533-position model. The record is from RNAcentral.
CGCAAUGGGCGAAAGCCUGAUGGAGCAACGCCGCGUGCAGGAUGAAGGCCCUCGGGUCGUAAACUGCUUUUAUAAGCGAAGAAUUUGACGGUAACUUAUGAAUAAGCACCGGCUAACUACGUGCCAGCAGCCGCGGUCAUACGUAGGGUGCAAGCAUUAUCCGGAGUGACUGGGCGUAAAGAGUUGCGUAGGUGGUUUGUUAAGUGAAUGGUGAAAUCUGGGGGCUCAACCUCACAGACUAUUAUUCAAACUGACAAACUCGAGAAUGGUAGAGGUAACUGGAAUUUCUUGUGUAGGAGUGAAAUCCGUAGAUAUAAGAAGGAACACCAAUGGCGUAGGCAGGUUACUGGACCAUUUCCUCUACUUUUGAGGCCCGUAACAGC